RNAcentral lists this ribosomal RNA (207 nucleotides) under uncultured bacterium. RNAcentral's name for it is "partial 16S ribosomal RNA". It matches the Rfam family "Bacterial small subunit ribosomal RNA", at positions 524 to 729 of the family's 1533-position model. The record is from RNAcentral.
UACGGAGGGUGCAAGCGUUAUCCGGAUUCACUGGGUUUAAAGGGCGCGUAGGCGGUCGUGACAAGUCACUUGUGAAAUCUCCGGGCUUAACUCGGAACGGUCAAGUGAUACUGUCGGACUAGAGUACAGAAGGGGCAACUGGAAUUCUCGGUGUAGCGGUGAAAUGCGUAGAUAUCGAGAGGAACACCUGCGGCGAAGGCGGGUUGC